Molecule: ribosomal RNA, 467 nt
Filed under: uncultured bacterium
Lineage: Bacteria
Description: bacterial SSU rRNA
Rfam family: Bacterial small subunit ribosomal RNA
Source: RNAcentral
AGAGUUGAUCCUGGCUUAGAACGAACGCUGGCGGCAGGUCUUAGGCAUGCAAGUCGAACGGGUGUAGCAAUACAUCAGUGGCGCACGAGUGAGUAACGCGUGGGAAGCUACCCAUCACCGGGGAAUAACGUUUGGAAACGAACGCUAAUACCGCAUACGCCCGAAAGGGGAAAGAUUUAUCGGUGAUGGAUGUGCCCGCGUUGGAUUAGCUUGUUGGUGGGGUAACGGCCUACCAAGGCGAUGAUCCCAUAGCUGGUCUGAGAGGACGAUCAGCCACGCUGGGACUGAGACACGGCCCAGACUCCUACGGGAGGCAGCAGCUAAGAAUAUUGGACAAUGGGGGAAACCCUGAUCCCAGCCAUGCCGCGUGAAUGAAGAAGGCCUUCGGGUUGUAAAGUUCUUUUAGUAGUGAAGAUGAUGACAGUAGCUACAGAAAAAGCACCGGCUAACUUCGUGCCAGCCGCAGC